GUGGGGAAUUUUGGACAAUGGGCGAAAGCCUGAUCCAGCAAUGCCGCGUGCAGGAAGAAGGCCUUCGGGUUGUAAACUGCUUUUGUACGGAACGAAACGGUCCUGGUUAAUACCUGGGGCUAAUGACGGUACCGUAAGAAUAAGCACCGGCUAACUACGUGCCAGCAGCCGCGGUAAUACGUAGGGUGCAAGCGUUAAUCGGAAUUACUGGGCGUAAAGCGUGCGCAGGCGGUUUUGUAAGACAGGCGUGAAAUCCCCGGGCUCAACCUGGGAAUUGCGCUUGUGACUGCAAGGCUGGAGUGCGGCAGAGGGGGAUGGAAUUCCGCGUGUAGCAGUGAAAUGCGUAGAUAUGCGGAGGAACACCGAUGGCGAAGGCAAUCCCCUGGGCCUGCACUGACGCUCAUGCACGAAAGCGUGGGGAGCAAACAGGAUUAGAAACCCGAGUAGUCC
Molecule: ribosomal RNA, 450 nt
Filed under: uncultured bacterium
Lineage: Bacteria
Description: partial 16S ribosomal RNA
Rfam family: Bacterial small subunit ribosomal RNA
Source: RNAcentral